CCUACGGGGGGCAGCAGUGGGGAAUAUUGGACAAUGGGGGGAACCCUGAUCCAGCCAUGCCGCGUGUGUGAAGAAGGCCCUCGGGUUGUAAAGCACUUUCAGUGAGGAAGAACGCCUGGUGGUUAAUACCCAUCAGGAAAGACAUCACUCACAGAAGAAGCACCGGCUAACUCCGUGCCAGCAGCCGCGGUAAUACGGAGGGUGCGAGCGUUAAUCGGAAUUACUGGGCGUAAAGCGCGCGUAGGUGGCUUGAUAAGCCGGUUGUGAAAGCCCCGGGCUCAACCUGGGAACGGCAUCCGGAACUGUCAAGCUAGAGUGCAGGAGAGGAAGGUAGAAUUCCCGGGGUAGCGGUGAAAUGCGUAGAGAUCGGGAGGAAUACCAGUGGCGAAGGCGGCCUUAUGGACUGACACUGACACUGAGGUGCGAAAGCGUGGGUAGCAAACAGGAUUAGAUACCCGUGUAGUC
RNAcentral lists this ribosomal RNA (465 nucleotides) under Vreelandella stevensii. RNAcentral's name for it is "partial 16S ribosomal RNA". It matches the Rfam family "Bacterial small subunit ribosomal RNA", at positions 338 to 795 of the family's 1533-position model. Lineage: Bacteria; Pseudomonadati; Pseudomonadota; Gammaproteobacteria; Oceanospirillales; Halomonadaceae. The record is from RNAcentral.